Molecule: ribosomal RNA, 197 nt
Filed under: uncultured bacterium
Lineage: Bacteria
Description: partial 16S ribosomal RNA
Rfam family: Bacterial small subunit ribosomal RNA
Source: RNAcentral
ACGCUCGACACCUACGGGAGCAGCAGUGGGGAAUAUUGCACAAUGGGGGAAACCCUGAUGCAGCGACGCCGCGUGAAGGAUGAAGUAUUUCGGUAUGUAAACUUCUAUCAGCAGGGAAGAAAGUGACGGUACCUGACUAAGAAGCCCCGGCUAACUACGUGUCAGCAGCCGCGGUAAUCUGAGCGGGCUGGCAAGGC